AGGGCUGUGGCUCAGUGGUGAGAGCAUCUGCUUUGCACGCAGAAGGUCCAAGGUCCAGUCCCCAUUGGAUUCGAACCCGGGGCAACCUAGUCCUA
This is a non-coding RNA of Podarcis lilfordi (Lilford's wall lizard), 95 nucleotides long. The record is from the annotation of a GenBank genome assembly. NCBI's taxonomy places the organism in Eukaryota, Metazoa, Chordata, Lepidosauria, Squamata, Lacertidae.